AGUGAACGCUGGCGGUAGGCCUAACACAUGCAAGUCGAACGGUAGCACAGUAAGAGCUUGCUCUUACGGGUGGCGAGUGGCGGACGGGUGAGGAAUACAUCGGAAUCUACUUUUUCGUGGGGGAUAACGUAGGGAAACUUAUGCUAAUACAGCAUACGACCUACGGGUGAAAGCAGGGGAUCUUCGGACAUUGCGAGAAUGAAUGAGCCGAUGUGGGAUUGGUUAGUUGGCGGGGUAAAGGCCCACCAAGGCGAGGAACGUUACCUGGUCUAAGUGGGUGAUCACCCACACUGGAACUGGAACACGGUCCAAACUCCUACGGGAGGCGGCAGAGGGGAAUAUUGGACAAUGGGCGCAAGCCUAAUCCAGCCAUACCGCGUGGGUGAAAAAGGCCUUCGGGUUGUAAAGCCCGUUUGUUGGGAAAGAAAAGCGGCAGAUUAAUACCCCGCUGUUCUGACGGUACCCAAAGAAUAAGCACCGGCUAACUUCGUG
This 492-nucleotide ribosomal RNA is filed under the name uncultured bacterium. RNAcentral's name for it is "partial 16S ribosomal RNA". It matches the Rfam family "Bacterial small subunit ribosomal RNA", at positions 29 to 507 of the family's 1533-position model. The record is from RNAcentral.